UGGGGAAUAUUGGACAAUGGGCGCAAGCCUGAUCCAGCCAUACCGCGUGGGUGAAGAAGGCCUUCGGGUUGUAAAGCCCUUUUGUUGGGAAAGAAAUCCAGCCGGCUAAUACCUGGUUGGGAUGACGGUACCCAAAGAAUAAGCACCGGCUAACUUCGUGCCAGCAGCCGCGGUAAUACGAAGGGUGCAAGCGUUACUCGGAAUUACUGGGCGUAAAGCGUGCGUAGGUGGUCGUUUAAGUCCGUUGUGAAAGCCCUGGGCUCAACCUGGGAACUGCAGUGGAUACUGGGCGACUAGAGUGUGGUAGAGGGUAGCGGAAUUCCUGGUGUAGCAGUGAAAUGCGUAGAGAUCAGGAGGAACAUCCAUGGCGAAGGCAGCUACCUGGACCAACACUGACACUGAGGCACGAAAGCGUGGGGAGCAAACAGGAUUAGAUACCCUGGUAGUCCACGCCCUAAACGAUGCGAACUGGAUGUUGGGUGCAAUUUGGCACGCAGUAUCGAAGCUAACGCGUUAAGUCCGCCGCCUGGGGAGUACGGUCGCAAGACUGAAACUUAAAUGAAUUGACGGGGUCAUAGCUGUUUCCGU
RNAcentral lists this ribosomal RNA (588 nucleotides) under uncultured bacterium. Its description in RNAcentral is "partial 16S ribosomal RNA". It matches the Rfam family "Bacterial small subunit ribosomal RNA", at positions 355 to 938 of the family's 1533-position model. The record is from RNAcentral.